AGGACGAACGCUGGCGGCGCGCUUAACACAUGCAAGUCGAGCGAUAACCACUCCUUCGGGAGCGGGGAAAGCGGCGAACGGGUGAGUAACACGUGGGUAAUCAACCCUCAGUACCGGGAUAGCCCGAGGAAACUCGGAUUAAUACCGGAUGGCCCAACAGCUCUUCGGGGCGGUUGGAAAAGGUAGCUUCGGCCUCCGACUGAGGACGAGCCCGCGGCGGAUUAGCUUGUUGGCGGGGUAACGCCCACCAAGGCGACGAUCCGUAGCUGGUCUGAGAGGACGAUCAGCCACACUGGGACUGAGACACGGCCCAGACUCCUACGGGAGGCAGCAGUGGGGAAUCUUGCACAAUGGGCGAAAGCCUGAUGCAGCGACGCCGCGUGAGGGAAGAAGGCUUUCGGGUUGUAAACCUCUUUCAGGAGGGACGAAGCUACUCGGGUUAAUAGCCCAGAGGGUGACGGUACCUCCAGAAGAAGCCCCGGCUAACGUACGCGCCAGCAGCCGCGGU
This 508-nucleotide ribosomal RNA is filed under the name uncultured bacterium. Its description in RNAcentral is "SSU rRNA". It matches the Rfam family "Bacterial small subunit ribosomal RNA", at positions 26 to 521 of the family's 1533-position model. The record is from RNAcentral.